UACGUAGGGGGCAAGCGUUGUCCGGAUUUAUUGGGCGUAAAGCGCUCGCAGGUGGUUUGCCGCGUCGUGCGUGAAAGACCCCGGCUCAACUGGGGAGGGUCGUGCGAUACGGGCAGACUGGAGGCCAGUAGGGGGAUGCGGAAUUCCGGGUGUAGUGGUGGAAUGCGUAGAGAUCCGGAGGAACACCAGCGGCGAAGGCGGCAUCCUGGACUGGUCCUGACACUCAGGAGCGAAAGCGUGGGGAGCGAUCCGG
Molecule: ribosomal RNA, 253 nt
Filed under: uncultured bacterium
Lineage: Bacteria
Description: partial 16S ribosomal RNA
Rfam family: Bacterial small subunit ribosomal RNA
Source: RNAcentral